Molecule: ribosomal RNA, 430 nt
Filed under: uncultured bacterium
Lineage: Bacteria
Description: bacterial SSU rRNA
Rfam family: Bacterial small subunit ribosomal RNA
Source: RNAcentral
GUGGGGAAUAUUGGACAAUGGGCGGAAGCCUGAUCCAGCAACGCCGCGUGAGGGAUGACGGCCUUCGGGUUGUAAACCUCUUUCAGCACAGACGAAGCGCAAGUGACGGUAUGUGCAGAAGAAGGACCGGCCAACUACGUGCCAGCAGCCGCGGUAAUACGUAGGGUCCGAGCGUUGUCCGGAAUUAUUGGGCGUAAAGGGCUCGUAGGCGGUCUGUCGCGUCGGGAGUGAAAACCAGGUGCUUAACACCUGGCCUGCUUUCGAUACGGGCAGACUAGAGGUACUCAGGGGAGAAUGGAAUUCCUGGUGUAGCGGUGAAAUGCGCAGAUAUCAGGAGGAACACCGGUGGCGAAGGCGGUUCUCUGGGAGUAUCCUGACGCUGAGGAGCGAAAGUGUGGGGAGCGAACAGGAUUAGAAACCCCUGUAGUCC